GAUGAAGAACGCAGCAAAAUGCGAUAAGUAAUGCGAAUUGCAGAAUUUCCGUGAGUCAUCGAAUCUUUGAACGCACAUUGCGCCCUCUGGUAUUCCGGGGGGCAUGCCUGUCCGAGCGUCAUUUGCAACCCUCAAGCCCGGCUUGUGUGAUGGGUGCCGUCCCCUACGGGACGCGCCCCGAAGGCAAUGGCGGCGUCGCGGUUAUCCGAUCAGCCAAAGUGUAUGGGGCUUUGUCACUCACUUUACGGCCCGGACCGGCGCCAGUCCGAAUCAAUCUUUUUUCUAAAGUUGACCUCGGAUCAGGUAGGGAUACCCGCUGAACUUAAGCAUAUCAAUAAGCGGAGGA
Molecule: unclassified non-coding RNA, 346 nt
Filed under: soil metagenome
Description: partial contains 5.8S ribosomal RNA, internal transcribed spacer 2, and large subunit ribosomal RNA
Rfam family: 5.8S ribosomal RNA (bases 1-121)
Source: RNAcentral